UAAUACGAAGGUGGCAAGCGUUGUUCGGAAUAACUGGGCUUAAAGAGCACGUAGGCGGCUGAUCAAGCAUCUUGUGAAAUCCCUCGGCUUAACCGAGGAAUUGCGAGGUGAACUGGUCAGCUUGAGCUGCAGAUGGGUGACUGGAACUCUAGGUGGAGUGGUGAAAUGCGUAGAUAUCUAGAGGAACGCCAGUGGUGAAAACGGGUCACUGGCUGCAUGCUGACGCUGAGGUGCGAAAGCGUGGGUAGCGAACGGGAUUAGAUACCCCGGUAGUCCACGCCGUAAACGAUGGGUACUAGGUUCGGGGAAGUUUGACCUUUUCCGGGCCGAAGCAAAAGUAAUAAGUACCCCGCCUGGGGAGUACGGUCGCAAGGCUA
Molecule: ribosomal RNA, 377 nt
Filed under: uncultured Planctomycetota bacterium
Lineage: Bacteria; Pseudomonadati; Planctomycetota
Description: bacterial SSU rRNA
Rfam family: Bacterial small subunit ribosomal RNA
Source: RNAcentral